This is a long non-coding RNA of Oenanthe melanoleuca, 651 nucleotides long. RefSeq lists it as uncharacterized. Lineage: Eukaryota; Metazoa; Chordata; Aves; Passeriformes; Muscicapidae. The transcript is spliced from 2 exons. The record is from RefSeq and is a predicted model, not a curated record.
GGAAAAACGGUAUAAAGGCUGGUGGAUCUCGGGGUGCUUCGUUUGCUCAGCCUUACCCUGAGGUGUCCGUGGUCAGAGCCCAGGAGGGGUCACUGCUCCAAGAUGAGCUCCAGACUACUCCGGUGCCUUUUCCCAGGCGACGGGAGUUCCCAGCCCCAGAGCUCCUCCGGCGGGGGAGGAGGCAGAUCACUCCUGAGCAUGGAUAUUAAUUCUGGUGGCAGUGUAGGUAAAGGAGGAGAAGGAGGAAAAGAAGGAGGAGGAGGAGGAGGUGGAGGAGUUUCAGGCGGCAAUUUCAACGGUCCCAUCAUUGGCUUGGCAGCUGGAGGUGGAGGGGGAACGAACUCCACCUACUGUGCAGGAAAUGUAGGAGGAGACCCAGCCCAUUUGAUGGCCGCCAUACAAAAUUCGAAGUAGUGCCUGCCAGAAGAACUCUGACACAAAGGAAGCCCAAGAUAUGCAGAUGCCUCGCGUUUUCUCCUCCAUUAAACUCAAGAUUAUUUGCGUUGUUCUCUUCUCCCUUCCCCUGCAAAUGUUCCUACUGGAACCUCUGGUGUUGUGCAUCUGUAAUUCAGUCCAGGGUUGUUCUGUGUGCCUGUUCCUCCCUCAAUUUUCAAGUGUUUGCAUGAGACAAUAAAAUUGCAGUUCUACAGA